Molecule: transfer RNA, 71 nt
Filed under: Anadara vellicata
Lineage: Eukaryota; Metazoa; Mollusca; Bivalvia; Arcoida; Arcidae
Description: tRNA-Ala
Source: RNAcentral
UGGCAUGACAGUCAAAGUGGAUGACGCCCGUUUUGCAUGUGGGAAGUGAAAGGAUGUUUUUCUCGUGCCAG